Molecule: long non-coding RNA, 902 nt
Filed under: Oryza brachyantha (malo sina)
Lineage: Eukaryota; Viridiplantae; Streptophyta; Magnoliopsida; Poales; Poaceae
Description: long non-coding RNA (OBRA_LNC002041)
Source: RNAcentral
GUGAAUCUUGGAGCAGUCCUGGCUAUUUAAGUUGUAAUUGAAAUUUGUGGAUAUUGUUAGGUGAUUGAAAACUAUACAGUUUAUCGGUAAUUUUAUAAUAUUAUUAUUGAUCCGUGUGAAAAGAAAUCACACCUAAUUAAAAUUAUUCAUUUGAUCAUGCUGUUGUCCAACAACAAAUAUGACAACUCCACACCUAAUUAAACGUAUUUUCUCUACGGAUCCGGCAAUCGAUAGGUACGUAUUGCUGGUCAUAGUUCUUCGCUGACGAAUCAAUUGAAGUACCAGCUCUACGUACCUAGCUACUGAUUGACUAGCUCUCGCCCAUCCCGCGCUGUCAAGAGAAGCUGCAAAAUCGAAACAAAAAGAUGAAACACGCACUAAUCAGCUUCGAAAAUCAUUGUCAAGUAUGCUUGUCAAACCAAAAACGAAUCCCUUUUAAACUUGAUUUCUUCCAUAAUCAAUCUUGGGUAGAAUUUUUUUAUUUUUUAAAUAUUUUUAAUAAAUAAUUUUAUUACUAAACCUCAGAAAAAAAUAUUUUCACUGUAUGAAUCUUUUGGCCACGUCAGUGUUGGUGGCGUGGCAAGACGCUGCCACGCUACCGACAAUGGUGUGGGCAAGCCUACCACGCCAAAAACCCUAUGUGGCAGUGUUGUUUUCUAUGCUAAUGUUGAUGGUGUAGUCAAAAGGUUUAUCCGGUGAAAAUAUUUUUUACCGAGGUUUAGUAAUAAAAUUAUUUAUUGGAAAUGUUUAAAAAAUAAAAAAAAUUCCCUUGGGUACGUAGUUGCUUAGUUGGAUACCUUCUACAGUAGGAAAUGAUGUUGUGGGCGUCGGCCCCGAGCCUGAGCCCGACGACGCCGCAGAGGCCGGGAAGCAGCGCGAUGGCGGACGCGCUGGGGCCGUGG